This is a long non-coding RNA of Gadus chalcogrammus (walleye pollock), 602 nucleotides long. RefSeq lists it as uncharacterized. The transcript has 3 exons. The record is from RefSeq and is a predicted model, not a curated record. NCBI's taxonomy places the organism in Eukaryota, Metazoa, Chordata, Actinopteri, Gadiformes, Gadidae.
GGGUUAGGGUUAGGGUUAGGUUUGGGUUAGGGCGCUCCCUCAAGCGCCAUGCAAAACUGCAUGGGGCUAGAGGAGAGGAGGGCACGGGCACAAGCAAUUAAAAUACGUUAUAAACUUUUAUCACCAUAAAAUCAUAAAAUCAAUGAAAUAAAAUACAUAAAAGGAAUAAAAUAAAUGAAAGGAAUAAAAUAUAGGCUGAGUGGUUAAGGUUAGGAGAGGGGGAGGGAAGAGGUUAUGUUAAGGAUUUAAAACAGGAUAUGUUGUAGGAAGGCUUUGGUGAGGACCCGGACGAAUAGAUGGGUCCUCGUUGAGGCCAUGGGGGGCUGUGGUGGACAGCCUAUAAAUCCACCUCCGUUCCGCAGCUCUCCUCUGGCCCAGAGACCAACUGGCGUUGGUCUCGAGCCCUGACAAUGCUCCUGCAACGUCUGCACUGUAUGGCAUAGACGACGUUGCAGGAGAGUAGUGUGAAGGACUGCGUGAUGGGGACACCGGCACGAGAGCUGGAGAUGUACUUGAGGUUUGAAAAGGAGGACUGGCCGGUCUGGUUGGAAGAGGGCGAUCACUUCCCCUUUAAUGGUCCGAAGGAAGCGUUUGGAGUAGCC